This 707-nucleotide ribosomal RNA is filed under the name Vibrio cholerae. RNAcentral's name for it is "partial 23S ribosomal RNA". It matches the Rfam family "Bacterial large subunit ribosomal RNA", at positions 2246 to 2925 of the family's 2925-position model. Lineage: Bacteria; Pseudomonadati; Pseudomonadota; Gammaproteobacteria; Vibrionales; Vibrionaceae. The record is from RNAcentral.
UGAGGACAGUGCCUGGUGGGUAGUUUGACUGGGGCGGUCUCCUCCCAAAGAGUAACGGAGGAGCACGAAGGUGGGCUAAUCACGGUUGGACAUCGUGAGGUUAGUGCAAUGGCAUAAGCCCGCUUAACUGCGAGAAUGACGGUUCGAGCAGGUGCGAAAGCAGGUCAUAGUGAUCCGGUGGUUCUGUAUGGAAGGGCCAUCGCUCAACGGAUAAAAGGUACUCCGGGGAUAACAGGCUGAUACCGCCCAAGAGUUCAUAUCGACGGCGGUGUUUGGCACCUCGAUGUCGGCUCAUCACAUCCUGGGGCUGAAGUCGGUCCCAAGGGUAUGGCUGUUCGCCAUUUAAAGUGGUACGCGAGCUGGGUUUAGAACGUCGUGAGACAGUUCGGUCCCUAUCUGCCGUGGGCGUUGGAAGAUUGAAGGGGGCUGCUCCUAGUACGAGAGGACCGGAGUGGACGAACCUCUGGUGUUCGGGUUGUGUCGCCAGACGCAUUGCCCGGUAGCUAAGUUCGGAAUUGAUAAGCGCUGAAAGCAUCUAAGCGCGAAGCGAGCCCUGAGAUGAGUCUUCCCUGAUACUUUAAGUAUCCUAAAGGGUUGUUCGAGACUAGAACGUUGAUAGGCAGGGUGUGUAAGCGUUGUGAGGCGUUGAGCUAACCUGUACUAAUUGCCCGUGAGGCUUAACCAUACAACACCCAAGGGGUUUUGUA